Amborella trichopoda is the source of this 154-nucleotide non-coding RNA. The record is from Rfam. NCBI's taxonomy places the organism in Eukaryota, Viridiplantae, Streptophyta, Magnoliopsida, Amborellales, Amborellaceae.
CCCACACCCAUGUAUGUAGGACCCCAAAGGAUCACCAUUAAAUUUGGCACAGAUCUCUAGAAAAGUUAUCACAUGAGUGUGGGACUUGACUUUUCUAGAGAUCUGUGCCAAAUUUAAUGAUGAUCAUUUGGGGUCCUACACACAUGGGUGUGAG